This 510-nucleotide ribosomal RNA is filed under the name uncultured bacterium. RNAcentral's name for it is "partial 16S ribosomal RNA". It matches the Rfam family "Bacterial small subunit ribosomal RNA", at positions 355 to 858 of the family's 1533-position model. The record is from RNAcentral.
UGGGGAAUUUUGGACAAUGGGCGAAAGCCUGAUCCAGCAAUGCCGCGUGUGUGAAGAAGGCCUUCGGGUUGUAAAGCACUUUUGUCCGGAAAGAAAUCCUUGGCUCUAAUACAGUCGGGGGAUGACGGUACCGGAAGAAUAAGCACCGGCUAACUACGUGCCAGCAGCCGCGGUAAUACGUAGGGUGCAAGCGUUAAUCGGAAUUACUGGGCGUAAAGCGUGCGCAGGCGGUUUGCUAAGACCGAUGUGAAAUCCCCGGGCUCAACCUGGGAACUGCAUUUGUGACUGGCGGGCUAGAGUAUGGCAGAGGGGGGUAGAAUUCCACGUGUAGCAGUGAAAUGCGUAGAGAUGUGGAGGAAUACCGAUGGCGAAGGCAGCCCCCUGGGCCAAUACUGACGCUCAUGCACGAAAGCGUGGGGAGCAAACAGGAUUAGAUACCCUGGUAGUCCACGCCCUAAACGAUGUCAACUAGUUGUCGGGUCUUCAUUGACUUGGUAACGUAGCUAACGC